This 253-nucleotide ribosomal RNA is filed under the name uncultured bacterium. Its description in RNAcentral is "partial 16S ribosomal RNA". It matches the Rfam family "Bacterial small subunit ribosomal RNA", at positions 524 to 776 of the family's 1533-position model. The record is from RNAcentral.
UACGGAGGGUGCGAGCGUUGUCCGGAAUCACUGGGCGUAAAGGGCGCGUAGGCGGCCUGAUAAGUAGGGGGUGAAAUCCUGCGGCUUAACCGCAGGGCUGCCUUCUAAACUGUCAGGCUCGAGCACAGUAGAGGCAGGUGGAAUUCCCGGUGUAGCGGUGGAAUGCGUAGAGAUCGGGAGGAAGACCGGUGGCGAAGGCGGCCUGCUGGGCAGGUUCUGACACUGAUGCGCGACAGCGUGGGGAGCAAACAGG